CGGCUUCAGAGUUGCUAUGGCUAUCGCCUGGUUCUACACACUGCUGAUCGUACUACGUUAUGGCCAACACAAACAACAUGUGCAGGAGUUGGUGAAUGCUUAUUGAGCUGUACACCUUUGUACCUGACUCCAACUGAUUGACACUGCUUUCUUACUUUAGUCAACUUUCAAACGCUUUGUUUUUCCGGUCUAUCCCUUGACGGCGAUUCAAUCAGGCACGGGCCGUAUGGACUGGUCAUAUUUUAUCUCAGGCAGGUCGGGAAUGCAGUUGUCUGGCAAGGUACGGACUGCACCAUUUAGCAGACAUCCUGGCAAACAUCCCUUAUGUAGGAACAGGACUUCUAUCAGGGUUCAGGGUUUUGUUUCGAAUUGUCUAUGCAAAUGGGCAGACUAGGUGCUGGCAACGACAAACGAGGAACCUCCCAAUCAACUUUAAUCCCUGAACUGUGCCAGAUGCGUCCUUUAAACUCCGUCCGCGCAUGUACAGUACAAGUAUGUGCACAAUCAGAGAGUUCAUCUGUACAAUCCGCAUCCUGUGGCAAGUUGCGAAUCAGACCAACUCGCCCCAUUUUCAUUCAAGAAAACUCAUACUCAAGAAUUGGGGGAGCGAAAGGAA
This 616-nucleotide small RNA is filed under the name Histoplasma capsulatum var. duboisii H88. RNAcentral's name for it is "Histoplasma capsulatum H88 hypothetical RNA". Lineage: Eukaryota; Fungi; Ascomycota; Eurotiomycetes; Onygenales; Ajellomycetaceae. The record is from RNAcentral.